Molecule: small RNA, 166 nt
Filed under: Intrasporangium chromatireducens
Lineage: Bacteria; Bacillati; Actinomycetota; Actinomycetes; Micrococcales; Intrasporangiaceae
Description: c-di-AMP sequence
Rfam family: c-di-AMP riboswitch aptamer (ydaO/yuaA leader) (bases 15-145)
About the family: This family represents a conserved RNA structure found upstream of the ydaO and yuaA genes in Bacillus subtilis and related genes in other bacteria. The ydaO/yuaA element is thought to act as a genetic "off" switch for the ydaO and yuaA genes in its native state. It is believed that the element may be triggered during osmotic shock leading to activation of ydaO, a predicted amino acid transporter gene, and members of the yuaA-yubG operon which code for KtrA and KtrB K+ transporters.
Source: RNAcentral
CCCUUGAUAUCCCUUCCUGGCAGGAGUGGGGGACCCAUCUCCCGGUCGUUCCGACGUCCUUGGGGUGAAGGCCUCGCGAUGAGCAGACGCGCUCGCAGCGGGGGCCGGGCAGCACCUCCGCCCGAACCCGACAGCUAACUCCGCAGGCGGCCCCCCUCGAGGUACA